This 240-nucleotide unclassified non-coding RNA is filed under the name soil metagenome. Its description in RNAcentral is "partial contains 5.8S ribosomal RNA, internal transcribed spacer 2, and large subunit ribosomal RNA". The record is from RNAcentral.
AACGCACGAGACCUGCGGACCUGCGGAGGGAUCAUUAACAAAUUUGUUGAGUAUGUACAAUUGUGAACAGGCCAGAGUUUGUAUCUGAAGAAGCAGAUAAGCAAUUAUUUGUGUAGCUAAAGAAGCAGAUGAGCAAUUAUUUGUGUAGCUGAAUAUUGCGAAGCAGAUAAGCAAUUAUUUGUGUAGCUGAAUAUUUGUGUAGCAGAUGAGCAAUUAUUUGUGUAGCUGAAUAUUUGUGUA